CGUGCCUUUUGUAGAAUGAACCGGCGAGUUACGAUUUGAUGCAAGGUUAAGCAGUAAAUGUGGAGCCGUAGCGAAAGCGAGUCUGAAUAGGGCGUUUAGUAUUUGGUCGUAGACCCGAAACCAGGUGAUCUAUCCUUGGUCAGGUUGAAGUUCAGGUAACACUGAAUGGAGGACCGAACCGACUUACGUUGAAAAGUGAGCGGAUGAACUGAGGGUAGCGGAGAAAUUCCAAUCGAACCUGGAGAUAGCUGGUUCUCUCCGAAAU
RNAcentral lists this ribosomal RNA (265 nucleotides) under Staphylococcus aureus. RNAcentral's name for it is "partial 23S ribosomal RNA". It matches the Rfam family "Bacterial large subunit ribosomal RNA", at positions 600 to 865 of the family's 2925-position model. The record is from RNAcentral. Lineage: Bacteria; Bacillati; Bacillota; Bacilli; Caryophanales; Staphylococcaceae.